GUGAUGAUCCAAUGCAGGCGGCGACUCUGUGACCGUUGACCUGCCGACUGA
RNAcentral lists this small nucleolar RNA (51 nucleotides) under Pyrobaculum calidifontis JCM 11548. RNAcentral's name for it is "PCAsR23". Lineage: Archaea; Thermoproteati; Thermoproteota; Thermoprotei; Thermoproteales; Thermoproteaceae. The record is from RNAcentral.